This 229-nucleotide ribosomal RNA is filed under the name uncultured bacterium. RNAcentral's name for it is "partial 16S ribosomal RNA". It matches the Rfam family "Bacterial small subunit ribosomal RNA", at positions 568 to 796 of the family's 1533-position model. The record is from RNAcentral.
UUUGCAGGCUGUUCAAUAAGUCAGUGGUGAAAUCCUGCGGCUUAACCGUAGAACUGCCAUUGAUACUGUUGCCCUUGAGUAUAGUUGAGGUGGGCGGAAUGUGUAAUGUAGCGGUGAAAUGCAUAGAGAUUACACAGAACACCAAUUGCGAAGGCAGCUCACUAAGCUAUAACUGACGCUGAGGCACGAAAGCGUGGGGAGCGAACAGGAUUAGAUACCCUGGUAGUCC